This 210-nucleotide ribosomal RNA is filed under the name uncultured bacterium. RNAcentral describes it as "partial 16S ribosomal RNA". It matches the Rfam family "Bacterial small subunit ribosomal RNA", at positions 1292 to 1500 of the family's 1533-position model. The record is from RNAcentral.
UUCGGAUUGCAGGCUGCAACUCGCCUGCAUGAAGCUGGAAUUGCUAGUAAUCGCGGAUCAGCAAGCCGCGGUGAAUACGUUCCCGGGCCCUUGUACACACCGCCCGUCACACCAUGAGAGUCGGGAACACCCGAAGUCCGUAGUCUAACCGCAAGGGGGGCGCGGCCGAAGGUGGGUCCGGUAAUUGGGGUGAAGUCGUAACAAGGUACC